UACGGAGGGUGCAAGCGUUAUCCGGAUUUACUGGGUUUAAAGGGUGCGCAGGCGGUAAUUUAAGUCAGUGGUGAAAGCCUACAGCUCAACUGUAGAACUGCCAUUGAAACUGAAUUACUUGAGUGUGGAAGAGGUAGGCGGAAUACAACAUGUAGCGGUGAAAUGCAUAGAUAUGUUGUAGAACACCGAUUGCGAAGGCA
RNAcentral lists this ribosomal RNA (200 nucleotides) under uncultured bacterium. RNAcentral's name for it is "partial 16S ribosomal RNA". It matches the Rfam family "Bacterial small subunit ribosomal RNA", at positions 524 to 723 of the family's 1533-position model. The record is from RNAcentral.